GACGAACGCUGGCGGCGUGCCUAAUACAUGCAAGUAGAACGCACAGUUUAUACCGUAGCUUGCUACACCAUAAACUGUGAGUUGCGAACGGGUGAGUAACGCGUAGGUAACCUGCCUGGUAGCGGGGGAUAACUAUUGGAAACGAUAGCUAAUACCGCAUAAUAUUGAUUAUUGCAUGAUAAUUGAUUGAAAGAUGCUAUUGCAUCACUACCAGAUGGACCUGCGUUGUAUUAGCUAGUAGGUGAGGUAACGGCUCACCUAGGCGACGAUACAUAGCCGACCUGAGAGGGUGAUCGGCCACACUGGGACUGAGACACGGCCCAGACUCCUACGGGAGGCAGCAGUAGGGAAUCUUCGGCAAGGGACGAAAGUCUGACCGAGCAACGCCGCGUGAGUGAAGAAGGUUUUCGGAUCGUAAAGCUCUGUUGUAAGAGAAGAACGGGUGUGAGAGUGGAAAGUUCACACUGUGACGGUAGCUUACCAGAAAGGGACGGCUAACUACGUG
RNAcentral lists this ribosomal RNA (505 nucleotides) under uncultured bacterium. RNAcentral's name for it is "partial 16S ribosomal RNA". It matches the Rfam family "Bacterial small subunit ribosomal RNA", at positions 28 to 507 of the family's 1533-position model. The record is from RNAcentral.